GUACUCACUUUAGCAGCACAUGUACUAAAAUUGUAAUGAUACAGAGAAGAUUAGCAUGUCCCCUGCACAAGGAUGACAUGCAAAUUCGUGAAGCAUUCCAUAUUUUU
This 107-nucleotide small nuclear RNA is filed under the name Chinchilla lanigera (long-tailed chinchilla). The record is from RNAcentral. Lineage: Eukaryota; Metazoa; Chordata; Mammalia; Rodentia; Chinchillidae.